Molecule: long non-coding RNA, 1139 nt
Organism: Ictalurus punctatus (channel catfish)
Lineage: Eukaryota; Metazoa; Chordata; Actinopteri; Siluriformes; Ictaluridae
Source: Ensembl
CCCCGUGCUCCUAGUACCCCUGCUCCUUGGAAGGGACUGGCCAGGAUUCUCGAUGGGCCCGGCUAUCGAAUCUGGCAGGCCGCGGCAACACACGAAGAGGACCUGGGCCUGGCAGGCCUACCUGGCCCAGGACGACGGAGACGCUGCCACGGAAGGUAAGGCUCCCCUACACACUAAUCCUCUGUCUUCUGUCUUUCACCUGGUUUGUGAUGCUGAAGCCACAAACAAAGAAAAUCGAAGCCGUAAAGGACUACCCUCGACCCACGUCAAAGAAACAGCUUCCCCCCUCUCAGAUCUCACAACGAAGGGCCAGCCGGACCGGGUUAAGUGGUCAGCCGAAGCAGAGAGGGCCUUCCAAGUCCAGAAAUGUGCCCUCACCAGCGCGCCGGUACUGCGCAAACGGGACUUUGGCCUCCCAUUCACGGUGCACACCGAUGCAUCCGAAACCGGGCUUGGCGCAGUUCUCUUACAAACCUUCGACGGAGAAGAACACCCAGUCCUCUAUAUCAGCCAGAAGUUGUCCCCCGCUGAGAGGAAAUACGCAGCCGUGGAGCGAGAGGCCCUGGCAAUAAAGUGGGCCAUCGAGGAGCUGCGGUACUACCUGGCUGGCCGGCACUUCGUCCUAGUAAUGGACCAUGCCCGCUUACAGUGGAUGGCCAAGGCCAAAGACAUGAACGCCAGGGUAACCUGCUGGUCCUCACCUUACAGGACUUCUCAUAUCAGGUCCAACACCGGGCAGGGGCCCAACAUGGGAAUGCAGAUGGGCUCUCGCAGCGAGACACGCUCUGGGCCCGCCACCCAGCGGCAGUAGGCUCGGAACUGAGGGGGGGUACUGUCGCGACGGACGGCCAGCCGGCGCACAUGAUAAGAAAGUUGAUCCUUCCCCGACUGCCGCGCAGGCACGAAGCGGACAGCCUCGCGCCAAACACACCAUCAGCUGGAAGGACCGUCACGGUGGGGCGGAACCGCCGAUACUACACCGGUCGGCGAUUGGGGAGUGAGUCGGGAGAAUCCCACCACUCAGGCUACGGGGGAAGAGUAUAAGAGGAUGCUCUUCCGCCCGUGCGAGGGAGAGUACUAAUUCACAGACCACGUGUGCGUCCUUUUGCUGCAUAAAGGUAUUCCGACCUCAGAAACGG